RNAcentral lists this ribosomal RNA (469 nucleotides) under uncultured bacterium. RNAcentral's name for it is "bacterial SSU rRNA". It matches the Rfam family "Bacterial small subunit ribosomal RNA", at positions 43 to 524 of the family's 1533-position model. The record is from RNAcentral.
CAGGCCUAACACAUGCAAGUCGAACGCUCCGCAAGGGGAGUGGCGCACGGGUGAGGAACGCGUGGGGAUCUGCCCUUUAGUUCGGAAUAGCGUCGGGAAACUGGCGCUAAUACCGGAUACGCUAUUUGGUCUUGGUCGACCGGAUAGGAAAGAUUUAUCGCUAAAGGAUGAACCCGCGUUAGAUUAGUUUGUUGGUGGGGUAAUGGCCUACCAAGACUACGAUCUAUAGCUGGUCUGAGAGGACGAUCAGCCACACUGGAACUGAGACACGGACCAGACUCCUACGGGAGGCAGCAGUAAGGAAUAUUGGUCAAUGGAGGCAACUCUGAACCAGCCAUGCCGCGUGCAGGAAGACGGCCCUCUGGGUUGUAAACUGCUUUUAUCCGGGAAUAAACCUACUUACGUGUAAGUAGCUGAAUGUACCGGAGGAAUAAGGAUCGGCUAACUCCGUGCCAGCAGCCGCGGUAAU